Molecule: unclassified non-coding RNA, 113 nt
Organism: Cercocebus atys (sooty mangabey)
Lineage: Eukaryota; Metazoa; Chordata; Mammalia; Primates; Cercopithecidae
Rfam family: Y RNA
About the family: Y RNAs are components of the Ro ribonucleoprotein particle (Ro RNP), in association with Ro60 and La proteins.
Source: Ensembl
UGCUGGUCCAAAGGUAGUGAUUAAUCUCAAUAGAUUGUUCACAGUCAGUUACAGAUUCAGUUCCUUUUUCUACUCUCUACCCCCUUCUCACUACUGUACUUGACUAGUCUUAA